AGGAUGCUUUUGGCNCGGUGCCUUCCGAGUUCCCUGGAACGGGACGCCAUAGAGGGUGAGAGCCCCGUCUGGUCGGACACCNNNCCAGUGUAAAGCUCCUUCGACGAGUCGAGUAGUUUGGGAAUGCUGCUCUAAAUGGGAGGUAUAUGUCUUCUAAAGCUAAAUACCGGCCAGAGACCGAUAGCGCACAAGUAGAGUGAUCGAAAGAUGAAAAGCACUUUGAAAAGAGGGUUAAAAAGUACGUGAAAUUGUUGAAAGGGAAGCGUUUAUGACCAGACUUGGGCCCGGUGAAUC
RNAcentral lists this ribosomal RNA (294 nucleotides) under soil fungal sp. DM2-275. RNAcentral's name for it is "partial 28S rRNA". It matches the Rfam family "Eukaryotic large subunit ribosomal RNA", at positions 156 to 450 of the family's 3401-position model. The record is from RNAcentral. Lineage: Eukaryota; Fungi.